UGAGUAACCUGCCCUUAACUCUGGGAUAAGCCUGGGAAACUGGGUCUAAUACCGGAUAUGACUCCUCAUCGCAUGGUGGGGGGUGGAAAGCUUUAUUGUGGUUUUGGAUGGACUCGCGGCCUAUCAGCUUGUUGGUGAGGUAAUGGCUCACCAAGGCGACGACGGGUAGCCGGCCUGAGAGGGUGACCGGCCACACUAGGACUGAGACACGGCCCAGACUCCUACGGGAGGCAG
This 234-nucleotide ribosomal RNA is filed under the name uncultured bacterium. RNAcentral describes it as "partial 16S ribosomal RNA". It matches the Rfam family "Bacterial small subunit ribosomal RNA", at positions 118 to 351 of the family's 1533-position model. The record is from RNAcentral.